GUGGCUGUGACUCAGAGGUAGAGUGCUCGCCUAGCAUGUGUGAGGCCCUGGGUUCAAUCCUCAGCACCACA
This 71-nucleotide transfer RNA is filed under the name Ictidomys tridecemlineatus (thirteen-lined ground squirrel). RNAcentral describes it as "Spermophilus tridecemlineatus (thirteen-lined ground squirrel) tRNA". It matches the Rfam family "tRNA". Rfam says of the family: Transfer RNA (tRNA) molecules are approximately 80 nucleotides in length. Their secondary structure includes four short double-helical elements and three loops (D, anti-codon, and T loops). Lineage: Eukaryota; Metazoa; Chordata; Mammalia; Rodentia; Sciuridae. The record is from Rfam by way of RNAcentral.